RNAcentral lists this ribosomal RNA (222 nucleotides) under uncultured bacterium. RNAcentral's name for it is "partial 16S ribosomal RNA". It matches the Rfam family "Bacterial small subunit ribosomal RNA", at positions 524 to 745 of the family's 1533-position model. The record is from RNAcentral.
UACGUAGGGUGCGAGCGUUAAUCGGAAUUACUGGGCGUAAAGCGUGCGCAGGCGGCGCGUUAAGACAGGUGUGAAAGCCCCCGAGCUUAACUUGGGAAUUGCGCUUGUGACUGGCGUGCGUGGAGUGUGGCAGAGGGAGGUGGAAUUCACGUGUAGCAGUGAAAUGCGUAGAGAUGUGGAGAACACCGAUGGCGAAGGCAGCCUCCUGGGCCAGCACUGACG